CGGCUGUAGGUCAUGGUUCCUGUCCAGUGGUCCCUUCCACACACGUAUGAUCUCAGGUCUUGGUAGCCUCCCUCCCUGCCCUUCAGGUGGUGAUGGCUCCCCACAGGCGCUGGCCUAGGGAACUGCACCCUCCUGUUGGGAUCUGCCUUAUCCACAUAUUACUGAAGUCCUUCUCGGAUGACCCAGAAGGAGUGGUCCAUGUGCCUUGCCAGUUUCUGCUCACCAUUCAUUGGUCAGACUUAGUGCCUUGGGCCCACCCCCUGCAAGGGGGUGGGAAGGGUGGUGCUGCUCAUGCUCAGGAAGAGAGAGAGAAACCGGAUGUGCAUGUGCUCUGUCUCGGUUACCGCAGAGCACACCUCAUAACUCUGGUCCUCAGCACUCUGCAUCUACAUAAAUGUCUUUCCAAGGAACUCAUCUUACUGCCUGUCAUAUAUUAUUCUUCAAAGCUUUUCUUCCCAGGGUGUGGCUGAACAGAAGGGUCUUUGGAUUCCUAUUUGGACUUUGCCUUGUCUCCACUGUGUGACUUUGGGCAUGUAAAUCCCCUUCUGUGCCUCAGUUUCCUCAUUUGCAAAGUGGGGUACAGAUGUUUUCCUUGUGGGCACAUUGCUGGCCUGAAAUAGCAUGCACAGGACCUGGGAGAAUGCAGUGAACAGCAGCUGGAAUUAACCAUCCCACCCGUGCCUGGGAAGAUCCGCAAGUAUGCAUUCAUAUAGCAGUGUCUCCCAAAUGCCUGCUCUGGGCCAGGCAUGCCUUGGACCUGGAAUAUGGAGUGAGGCGCAGGAGGAUCUUGCCUCAUGGAGCGUUUCUGGUGGAGUGGACAGACAAUGAGCAAAGGAAAAGAUAGGUCAUUCAUUGUGGUUUAUCUCUUCCACUGGGUGGGAGUCCCACGAGGGCCGAGGUGACGUCUGUCUGCCUGAUGCUGCAGCCCCGAUGCUCUGGCCCAGCACCUGGCCCGUGGUGGGCACCUGGGAAAUGUUUGCAGAAUAAAUGAAUCGUGUGAUUUUUUCCACUCCCUCUGUGGCGCUGGAUUGCAGGACACCUGUUUGCCUGCAGCACCGGAUCAUUCUGACCCUGCAGAAUCCCUUCUUGCUCUACUGGAUCGUGAGCUCCCUGUGACCUGGGAUGCUUCCUUACCUUAGUUUUCAUAGCCCACGGAUCCUCAGGCUGGAGCCAGGACCGCAGAGUGGCUGCCAGACACGCACAUCUGGAACCUGGCCCCUGGGAGCUGAGGACAAGCCUGGCUUUGAUCCAACAAUACACCUCCUGAGCUCCAGAGGGAAGAAAAUAGAUACUCUAUGCCAGGGGCAUGAAGGAGCGCACCUUGGUCUUAUUCCUCUCUGUGGUCCCUAUGGCUGGCACGGGCCUGGUAAGUGAAGCAGGGAGGGUCUACAGUCAUUUCUCUGUGGACUUUGCAAUGGAGUGACUGGCGCACCCAUGUCACAGAUUGGCUAACGGAGGCCCAGACUAUGAUGUGAUUUAUUGUGAUGGGAAUCUCCCUUGUGCCAUGUCAUCUUUUCUCCAAACCCUCCUUUGCACCUCCGAGCUGCAUGUGUCUCUGUCUGUGAUACCCUUUCUCCUCUUGUGACUGUAUAAUACAGGACACAUGGCACCUCCCCUAGGCACAGCUGGUCCCUGCCUUAUUAGAGUUUUGUACAAGUUUCACCAUGGCCCUUUAUCUCCCUGCCUGGUGACCUGUCCCUGGGAGGACAGAGUCAUGUGUGAGAUAUAGGCCAAGCUUUGGCCUGGCCCAGGGCAGACAGAACCAAUGCUAACCAAAGAGAUGAGUGAACGAACUGCACUGGUGUGUUUCAUUAAGUGUCUUCUUAACUCAAAGCAGAGGAGGUUGCUUCCAGUCUUCAGGGAGACAGGCUUAUGGUCUCCCGAGUGCCACAGCCACUUGUCAUAGUCUUCUAACAUGCAAGAUGCCCCAAAUUGGAUUCAUUCACUUCCGACCAGAUCUGCCAUGAGCAACAGCUUUACCAUCUUUCCGGUUUCUUUAACGUGUAACUCCAGUAGCACGUGUGGAGCCCCUUCCUGGUAUGUCUCCUGCCCGCCCCAGUUCCCAUCUCCUCCUUCCUGCCCCUCCGCCUGCUGCUCUUGGCUUCACCUCUGUUCCCCUCCCUCGCAGGGAGCUGACUCCUGGCUCCAACCCAGCCGGCAGCCCUGGCUCCCCACAGCAUUGCCAGAGUGGGCUGUGCGGGUGUUCGCAGUGAUUCCGAGGAUAAAGGGGCCCGUGGUCAAGCGAGUGGGGACUGGCCAAAUGAAGCCAAGCCGAUUCCCCUCCAGGACUUCUCGGGGCCUUUAAUGUGCUGUUUUGGACCGUGAUUCUCAGAGAGGCAGCACAGCGUGUGACAUUUCUAGAACUUAUUUGAUCGUGAACCUUUUGAUGCAGUAAUAAAACACCCAGGGAAGGGGCGUUCUAAGAAAACGCUCAACUCCCAACCCUGGCCAUCAAGACCCAGCUCGGAGUGACCUGGUCUACCUUUCCGACUGACGCUCUGGCUGCCCUGGUACUUUCAGAAAAACCUGGCCCAGAACAGCACCUCGGGAGGCUGUGAGCCCUUCUGCUUCUGCCUCUCGCCCACUCACCCUCCUGCCAGGCUCGCUCUUGCCAUGGGUCCACACCUGCCUUUUCUUUAAGGCCAAUCCCAAUGUCACCCCUCAUCUGCUCUCUGCCAUGGAGCCCUCCCAAAGGAUGUAAGCAGCACGGGCGACUGCUCCCUCUUCUUGUCCCAGAGCCCCACAUCUUGCAGAUGUUAGAUCACCCUGAUUAUGACAGCAUUACAGGGAGAUCUUGGGAUCCACUCUAAUUUACUAAAACAAACAAACAAACAAACAAACAAAAACAAACCCUCACUGACAACCCUUGGUAUUUUAAUGAGCAACCAGCAAGGCACCGUGUUCAUGAUGCUUCACUCCACGGACACAUCCUGACGCAGUGGCUGAGGGCCUCUGCAUGACCUGCACGUUUCCAAGGAUGACAUCUGCCUACGUGGCCCCUUUGUGCAGUGGGACUCCUGAUUCAGUGGCCCAGACGUCACGCAGAACUACCUGCUUCUGGUGUUUAGUCACAUGGUGGGCUCCCCCAAAGGAACAGUUCCACUCAUGUUCCAGGGGGGGACUGAGGUUGACCGAUAGCCCACCCGAUGCUACUUAAUUCCUGCCCUGUCACCUGGAUGGCUGAGACAGGGCCAGAAGGGAGCUCCCAAGGGGAGAGGGAGUCUUGGGAGGGUUGAAGGAUUUGCUCAAGAUUAUACAGUUAGAUCCCGGCGCGGUAGCACAUGCCUGUAAUUCUAGUGGCUCCAGAGGCACAGGCAGGAGGAUCGCGAGUUCAAAG
This is a non-coding RNA of Ictidomys tridecemlineatus (thirteen-lined ground squirrel), 3337 nucleotides long. The record is from RefSeq and is a predicted model, not a curated record. Lineage: Eukaryota; Metazoa; Chordata; Mammalia; Rodentia; Sciuridae.